Molecule: ribosomal RNA, 253 nt
Filed under: uncultured bacterium
Lineage: Bacteria
Description: partial 16S ribosomal RNA
Rfam family: Bacterial small subunit ribosomal RNA
Source: RNAcentral
UACAGAGGUCUCAAGCGUUGUUCGGAUUCAUUGGGCGUAAAGGGUGCGUAGGUGGCGCCGUAAGUCGGGUGUGAAAUUUCGGAGCUUAACUCCGAAACUGCAUUCGAUACUGCGGUGCUUGAGGACUGGAGAGGAGACUGGAAUUCAUGGUGUAGCAGUGAAAUGCGUAGAUAUCGUAAGGAAGACCAGUGGCGAAGGCGGGUCUCUGGACAGUUCCUGACGCUGAGGCACGAAGGCCAGGGGAGCAAACGGG